CCCUUAGACGUUCUGGGCCGCACGCGCGCUACACUGACGAAGGCAACUAGCUUUCCUUUACCGAAAGGUACGGGUAAUCUUUUGAAACUUCGUCGUGCUGGGGAUAGAUCCUUGCAAUUUUUGAUCUUAAACGAGGAAUGCCUAGUAAGCGCAAGUCAUCAACUUGCGUUGAUUACGUCCCUGCCCUUUGUACACACCGCCCGUCGCUACUACCGAUUGAAUGGUUUAGUGAGGCCUUCGGAUCCGCGACUCGUUUGUGGAGAAGUUGGACAAACUCAGUCAUUUAGAGGAAGUAAAAGUCGUAACA
Molecule: ribosomal RNA, 307 nt
Filed under: uncultured eukaryote
Lineage: Eukaryota
Description: partial 18S ribosomal RNA
Rfam family: Eukaryotic small subunit ribosomal RNA
Source: RNAcentral